This 1079-nucleotide small RNA is filed under the name Histoplasma capsulatum. RNAcentral's name for it is "hypothetical RNA". RNAcentral also lists the same sequence under 1 other name. The record is from RNAcentral. Lineage: Eukaryota; Fungi; Ascomycota; Eurotiomycetes; Onygenales; Ajellomycetaceae.
GAGUGGAGGAGACGGCUAUGGUAUAUCCACCCAUAUGUUUCUUUCUAUUUUUUUUUCUCCUCUAGCGGACGAAGCUCCGAGCGAGUUGCCAGCAGUCCCAGUGUUGUUCCCUUUUCUUGAUUUAGCGUGAUUGGCGGGGGCUGCCUCAGCAACCACGGAGGAGAUUCCCUGUCCCUACUAAUGGCUCAAGAACCAUCCGGUUCCCGAGUCCUCACCGAAAAUAUCGAUAGAUCAAACUACUACAUAUGUACUUGGAAAAAGUAACAUUAACAAUAGAAGAUAAAAAAACGAGAAUAGAAAACCCUUGAACCAAGACUACAGCUUCUGCGCCGUCCAACUCACACCCGCUGCCUCCAACGCAUCCUCCCCAUCAACAAGUACACACCAGCCCUCGCUCCCAUUACUCCCUGCUUCCUCCCCCGCAACCGCCGCCCUGAAGUUCUCCCGCGCGUACUCCAGCACUUCGUCGUCAAAGGUGCCCGGCUGCAGCCACACGGCGGGGACAUCCACGGCCUUGGCCUCCUUAAGGACCGCAAGCGUCACUUUAGGCGGGGUGACGAUGGAGAGAGAUGUCUGGGUAGGUGCCGGGAGGGCGGAGGGGGAUGGCAGAGUGCUAUAUGUCUUCGAAGGCAGGGCGAUUUCGGAGGCCCGUGGGUUCAAAGGGGUAACGGGGAGAGAGUGCUGGUGGUACCAGGCGAGGACUAUUUUACGGUUGGUUUGAGUGUCAGCAGCAGUCAGGAUUGUUGGCGAUUUUUAUUUUGCUUUUCUUGCGGAUUCGCUAUUUCAACUGACUCUUGUAGCCAAACUUGCUGGGAUCGGUGCUGGCGCCGGCUACGGCGAACCGUGGGGAGGAGAAGAAGUGUUUGGCAGCGGCCUCCAUAUCUUGAUUAAUCCUUAAAUGGCGUGUAUUAACCUAUUGCCAGCUGGAGACAUGGAAGGUAGACAGUGCUUAAACCUAACUUUCUAGUCUUUGGUGGAGAUGCCUCGGAGGUUAGAAGCUCCACCACACCAAUAAUUUGUUAACUUAGCAGUUGGUUUUGAAACGCAGAUUACCACGAUAAUAUAUAUUAUUAGCAGUG